GCGGAGUGCGUGCAUGGGGGCGAGGUAAGGGGGAGGGGGGAGGGGGUAAGCGGAAGUGCUGGGCGUAAGGGUUGCGAAGGCGGUUUUUUAAGGCAUUGGGUAAGGGUCCGGGCGGAACCGGGGAACUGCAAUGGUGACUGCAAGGCUGGGGUGCGGCAGAGGGGGAUGGAAUUCCGCGUGUAGCAGUGAAAGGCGUAGAUAUGCGGAGGAACACCGAUGGCGAAGGCAAUCCCCUGGGCCUGCACUGACGCUCAUGCACGAAAGCGUGGGGAGCAAACAGGAUUAGAUACCCCAGUAGUC
Molecule: ribosomal RNA, 300 nt
Filed under: uncultured Bhargavaea sp.
Lineage: Bacteria; Bacillati; Bacillota; Bacilli; Caryophanales; Caryophanaceae
Description: partial 16S ribosomal RNA
Rfam family: Bacterial small subunit ribosomal RNA (bases 52-300)
Source: RNAcentral